AUUGAACGCUGGCGGCAGGCCUAACACAUGCAAGUCGAGCGCGCGGCGGACGGGGGAGUAAUGUAUGGGGAUCUGCCCGCUAGGGGGGGAUAACUACUGUAAACGGUAGCUAAUACCGCAUACUCUCGGAUGAGCCCAUAUGGGAUUAGCUAGUGGGUGGGGUAAAGGCUCACCAAGGCAACGAUCCGUAGCUGGUUUGAGAGGACGACCAGCCACACUGGGACUGAGACACGGCCCAGACUCCUACGGGAGGCAGCAGUGGGGAAUAUUGGACAAUGGGGGAAAGCCUGAUGCAGCCAUCCCGCGUGUAUGAUGAAGGCCUUCGGGUUGUAAAGUACUUUCGGCAGAGAAGCGGUACCUGCAGAAGAAGCACCGGCUAACUACGUGCCAGCAGCCGCGGUAAUAC
RNAcentral lists this ribosomal RNA (406 nucleotides) under uncultured bacterium. RNAcentral's name for it is "partial 16S ribosomal RNA". It matches the Rfam family "Bacterial small subunit ribosomal RNA", at positions 30 to 526 of the family's 1533-position model. The record is from RNAcentral.